This 495-nucleotide ribosomal RNA is filed under the name uncultured bacterium. Its description in RNAcentral is "partial 16S ribosomal RNA". It matches the Rfam family "Bacterial small subunit ribosomal RNA", at positions 28 to 507 of the family's 1533-position model. The record is from RNAcentral.
GACGAACGCUGGCGGCGUGCCUAAUACAUGCAAGUAGAACGCUGAAGGAGGAGCUUGCUUCUCUGGAUGAGUUGCGAACGGGUGAGUAACGCGUAGGUAACCUGCCUGGUAGCGGGGGAUAACUAUUGGAAACGAUAGCUAAUACCGCAUAAGAGUAGAUGUUGCAUGACAUUUGCUUAAAAGGUGCAAUUGCAUCACUACCAGAUGGACCUGCGUUGUAUUAGCUAGUUGGUGGGGUAACGGCUUACCAAGGCGACGAUACAUAGCCGACCUGAGAGGGUGAUCAGCCACACUGGGACUGAGACACGGCCCAGACUCCUACGGGAGGCAGCAGUAGGGAAUCUUCGGCAAUGGACGGAAGUCUGACCGAGCAACGCCGCGUGAGUGAAGAAGGUUUUCGGAUCGUAAAGCUCUGUUGUAAGAGAAGAACGAGUGUGAGAGUGGAAAGUUCACACUGUGACGGUAUCUUACCAGAAAGGGACGGCUAACUACGUG